GGCCUCCCUAUUCUUACCACAGGCUCUGUUCUUUACACUGACUGUAUAGAAAGAGGAGGUGCAGUAAAUGCACUCCAUAUACACUUGAACCCUUUGCCUGGUCUGUAUUGUGAAUUGGGGGACAAAA
Small nucleolar RNA from Suncus etruscus (white-toothed pygmy shrew), 127 nucleotides. RefSeq annotates it as small nucleolar RNA SNORA51. The record is from RefSeq and is a predicted model, not a curated record. NCBI's taxonomy places the organism in Eukaryota, Metazoa, Chordata, Mammalia, Eulipotyphla, Soricidae. The transcript has a single exon.